RNAcentral lists this long non-coding RNA (277 nucleotides) under Actinidia chinensis (golden kiwifruit). Its description in RNAcentral is "long non-coding RNA (ACHI_LNC006589)". Lineage: Eukaryota; Viridiplantae; Streptophyta; Magnoliopsida; Ericales; Actinidiaceae. The record is from RNAcentral.
UUGGGGGUGAAGAUCGCGAGAGAGAGAGGGAGGUGAAGAAGCGACGAUUGUCGCAGAGGAGGCUAGUGUUUCCAUGGUGGUGUCUAACUCAGACGAGACGAUGAUGAUUCCAGGACGAUUUUAGAGUGCGAUGGUGUUACCAGUAGCUGAUAUUUUCUUGUCUAUUCUGAAUGAAUCAGGAACUUCGUGUUCAACGAAAUGCCUUAGCUUGCGUAGCGGGCAUAGCGGCUAUUUAUUCGUGGUGCUAAUUGGUUGGCUUAGGUGGCUUUGGAUCUGC